Molecule: long non-coding RNA, 5597 nt
Organism: Prionailurus viverrinus (fishing cat)
Lineage: Eukaryota; Metazoa; Chordata; Mammalia; Carnivora; Felidae
Exons: 3
Source: RefSeq, a predicted model, not a curated record
ACAGGCUCCAGGCUCUGAGCCAUCAGCCCAGAGCCCGACGCGGGGCUCGAACUCACGGCCCGUGAGAUCGUGACCUGGCUGAAGUCGGACGCUUAACCGACUGCGCCACCCAGGCGCCCCUGAAGUCUCUCUUUUAAGGUCCCCUGACGGUUGCCUUGCAUGGAUUCCUCUGAAAAAACAGAUAUUUCCAGUCCCAACUUCUCUCUCAAUGCCAGUCUGACAUUUCCAAUCAAUUGUGAAAUGCCCACCUGUGUGAUUGCAGAUGUGUCAAACCGGGCAUUUCUAAAAAUCAAAAACUCGUCUUCUCCCUGUAAGUAGACCUAUCCUCACACUGCCAUGCCAGAGGGCAACCCGCGCCCUGACUCCCCUGCAGACUGCAGAAAAAGGACUUGCUAAGUCUCAAGAACACAGGGCAGAGAAAACAAAGCCUGAUCCAAGGCAGAGGGUUGCAAUUAGCCCCACAAAGUGCAUUAGGAACAUCAAGGGGGGGCCGGGAGACAGAGGUGUCUGACAGAGGAGAAAGUUGAUAAGGGAGGUGCAUCUGGACACUUACUACUGUAACUUCUGCUAACAGUGUGGCGACUCCCUCAGGUAACACAUGUCGUGGUAAGCCUAUGGACUUGUGACCAUGUGCUGAGCACUAUUCGAAGCGCUUAACUACGUAUUAACUCACUUAAUUCCUACAACCCCACAAGGUGGAUGGGUAAACCAAGGCACGGGAAGCUGCUCCUUAGCCUGUGGUCAAACAGUUAACGGUGGCAGAGUUGGGUUUGAACCCAGGUGGCCUAGCCCAGCAUUUUUGUUCUUGACCAUUAGCUGUUCUGCUUCUCCGUCACCUUCUCAGAUCCUUUCAACAAGUCCUAUUGUUGUUACAGAAACUUCCUAUGUUCUGAAGUUGAAAAUAAUUUUGAAUCACGAUUCUCUCAGUUAUUAACUAUAAUGCCCUUUUUUGUGUUAUCAGGAGGUUAAAUAUGCCUCCUAUGUCUCCGUGGCACUUGCACAGAAAGCCUCUGGGAUAAUCAGGACUCUGUGGCCACAGUCACCUGCUGAACUGCUGGACCAGCCCCACAGAGCUCUGCUGGUGCCCUUCCUCUCCCUCGGGUGCCCGUGAGUUCCCUCAGCCUCUCCCGUCGCCCUCACGCUUAUGUGGCCGGAUCCUCCUUGAAAAUCCAAUAUUUAGAACAGUUGAAGCCUACUUGGUCACGUAGAACAGAAGAGGAACCGUUCUUUGAAAGAAACCCAAAACAGGACUCUUGACAAAGAGCAAAUACAUUAACAUGUGUGUCAGAAAAGAAAUGUGAGAGAUUCUCGGCUGCCACAUGUGGCAAUGAAAUCAUCCCUCUGAGCGCGUCGUCAUGCACAAUCUGAGUUCUUUGCUCGCUUUGUAAGGGACAAGAACCAGCACACGAACAGAAGAGACGUAUGGAACACCCUCCGGUCAUCGUGCGUCUAUGGGUGUGACGUUGGGGGAGGGGCUGUGGGAAAACGAGGCCACUGGCAGGAGCUGCGCAGGCGGGAGGCGUGUCUGAAGGCCCAAGCCCCGCGGUCCGGAGCCGCACAGCCGGGAGGAGGUGCCCAGCAUCGCACACCACCCGCGUGGUGAUGAGAAUCAUCGUCCUUCCCUUUGCACCUGCCCUUUGCCUGGCUCAGCGUGGCUUCCUGGGGACAGGUGUGUGUCCCGAAGCAGUAAGAGGCAGCUGGUGUCUGGGGGCCCUUUUAGAGGAGAGUCGGAAAAGCCACCUGCAGCAAAGGCAGGUCACCAAUUCUUGAGCUGAUUUCCACCGUGUUUGAAGAUGUCUGGUGACUCGGGCUCCUCAGAGGGUGAGCCUCGUGGCAGAAGUAAGCCUUGGCUGUGGCGAAGGACCCUCAAGGGUGCCCUGCGGUGCUUUCUGGCGACUUCGGCCAGUUGGGGUCCGUCACGGCAACAGGCUGUCUUCCAUGCCUGUUGUGCGGAAUUGGUCUUCUCUGUUGUACUUUCUUGUUGCUGUGAUUCUCACAGACGAAAAGUACGUUUUGCAGCAGAAUCUGUGCCUGGGGAAUGUGAUCAAACUUCUUGCCUAAAAGGAGCCUUUGUGUGGGUGUUCGUACUUCGCCUUGCGUAGCUGUGCGGUAUCAGUGUUAGGACCCUGCCCGUCCGUGAACACUUCUGAUCCACUGUCCACAGGCCGGUGGCUUGGCGCAAGCCUGCUGUGCGGUCACCUUUCGCUCACUGAGUCACCAUCACGGGACCUUGACCACCUACCUGCCCCUCCCGUGCACCUCGUGCAGUGCUUCGUGAUGGGGCUGCCGUUUGCUGUUCCGGACGGGCCGGCCACACCUUCACGCAGCGGGACGUGUCCACCCUGUGGUGCGGAGCCGCCUCCUUCCUCCUGCGCUCCAACCUCACCACCCACAGUGUUUGCCCUACGAGUUCCUUCUUUCAAGGAACGGUCGGUUAGGUUCGUCUUUCGGAGUCUGGGGCUGUUACGGCACCGGUGGCCGGCGGAGGCCUGGCUUAACCUGACGGCCCAAGGACUCUCUGCAGCAACUCACUACUCAUCCUCAUCCGGAGAACAUCUGGUUCUGUGCUACAACUUCCCAGCUAGAAGUCACUUGUUCACACGUUUCAGAUACGAAAUGUAAAAACCAAGACCCUUAUUAGGAUGUGCUACGGCACAGCGAUUGUGGCCCAUUGUGUCGGAGUCUCGAAAACGGCCACAGGGUAUGUCUGGGGAUACCCAGGAGCCCCCGUCCUGUGUGGGAGCGGCAUUCCCAAACUUUUGGGGAACGCGGCCUGAGAAGGCUCGUAAAGCUGCAGACCGUCCGUGAAUGCGGGGAGAGUCAGAAUGCCUUCUCGGCCUUUCUGACGGAGGCCGAGGGAGCCAGAAGGGAGCACAGAUUCAAGAUGCGGCUGCCACAACCCGGUGUUAGAAACACAUUUGCCCACAGUGUCAACCCCACACGUCACCAGCACCGCUUUGUAGUGAGGUAUGCAUUGUCAUCUGCCGUCUUGGUUUUGGCCACAAUUCGCCUCCCUGUGGAAGUGAUGUGCUGUAAGAGAAUCCGAAAAACCAAAACGCGGAGCCCCACCAGACUCCAGGCAGUGGACCAGAUCUGGACGACGAGUGGAAAUACUUUGUGGUGCCCCAGUGUGAAUAAUAGGACACGAAUCACAGAGGGUUGUGUCUUUCCACCUGCACGCAUCCGCUGCUUGCCUGAGGCAACGGGAGAUCAUGUGUUGCUUGUGAGCACCCAGUGGUUCAGAUCCAGCCCCUAUGACCUCUGGGGGGCUCUCCACGCUGGUGUGAGAAUGACAGCACCUGUAAGUAGGGUGUGAGCUGAUGGAAAGCAGUGUGCUGUGACCACAGCCCAGGACACACGUUACAGGUGACCAGAGGCAAUUGUUCGAAUUUCUCAGCAAGGCCCCUGGUGCAGCCAGCCGGUCCAGCUAACGUCACCCUCCUGAGACCCAGGUCUCGAGGGUUGUUCCCACCCCGUGCUCCCCAGUGGAGCCCGAAGGCCAGCCUGCGGCCGGCGCCCCUGACCCCUUGCAGUCAGGAACCUCCUUCUGAGCACCAGGGCGUCGGCUCUUCUGGCCUUGACCUGUGAGGCUCUCCUACCAGCAGGCUACGCAGCCUCCUCGCGACAACAGAAUCACUGUGGAUGACGUCCACUCACCCACAACUGAAACUCGCGCUACCAGGAAGAGCCUCGGGGCUUGGUGGCUGGCCAGUAGACUGCAUAAAUACAAGACUCCACGUGGCUCGGCUUCACGCCAAAUGUCAGAAAGGGAAGGCCAGUGUGCCCCCCAACUCUUGGGCUUGGGGAGCGUGCAUGGAGUGAGACCAAGAGGGCAAUGAGUGAAGGCGGUGUGGAACAGGAUGGUCUUUCCCUUCUGUGUGACUCCUGCCGAGACCCACACGGCGGAUGGCGAGUCCCCGAGGGUGGAGCGCCUGGGAGCCACCUCUCAGCCGGAUGCGGGGCUGGUGUCCCUUCCACCCUCCAGAGGAGAGCCAGACGGCCACAUUCAUUCCUCUUGCUACACUCUUGCUCAAGGUCAGCACGAGGGGCCGCGAAUGCCGCUCACUUGUGUGGGGAGGUGGGCGCCCUUGGCCGCCGGGUGAGUGGAAACUCUCCUCGGAUCGGCUGUGGCCACGGCCACGCUAGGAUCCCACCCUCGCCCACACUUUUGACGGGGCGACUUUUGAUUGCUGCAUUAGGCAACGCUUUGUGGUAAACAUCAGGGUUGUCAUCAGGAAGCGUGCCACGUUAUGCUUAUGACUUUAAACAACCCAGUUUUCAAAACUACUUUGGAAUCUGAGUGAACGUGAACUAGUCCACGUCUCCGAGGUGACCUGGUGCCAAACACUUCUCCGGGUUGGAGACACUUCCCAAGCUUCCCUGUGGGCCUGUUCUUUGGACUCUUGUCAGCAGCUCCCCCAACUCUGCUGAUGAGGUUUCUGAUAUCGUUGGACUGUUCCAGAACAUUCCAUCUCAGAAACGCUGGCAAGCCUCCUGGCACCGAGAAAGAUGCUGCUUGUGAGUGACUGUCAGCCUCGGCUCUGCAUCUGGAGAACCUGGUUACCUUGGGGUCUGUCCCCCUAAAACCCCUCCAGACUCUUUUCUGCAGCCACCUUGAAUCUCAUUCCACCCAGUGCUCACUGCACAGAAAUCAGACUCUGAACUUGCCAGGCUCCUGAGUCUGGGUGGAGUCUGGAGAUGGGCCGGGUCUGGGUUUCCCAUUCUGCAGAGCCCGCCGGACUCGCCUCGCCCAGGCAGUGCUGCGCCCCAAAGCCUCUUCCAGGCCUGGCGCCCUCCCCCAGCUCCCCCAUCCUACGGCAGGUGCUGCCCGGCAGAGUUGUGGCUGCCGGGGACCGAGCAGGGGGACACGGAGCCGGCACCCAGGCGGCCGCUCCCGGAAGCUGGCAGAAGCAUGCUGCUGCCCGUGUAGACGCCUCCUGGCAUGGAAGGGCUGGGCCAGCGCCGGAGAUGGGAGUUCACGCCUCUGUGCGGGUGCUUAACCUUUCCUGCCUGUUGACUUAGGAGCGAAGCCAGUCAGGAAAUAGGCCCGAGAGCCAGAGGGCACGCAGCCCACGUCAACUCAGUACCGACGGAGCACCCAUUGUGCUCACCCCUGACAUCCUGCACUGCGCAAAUGUCCCCAGCAGCAGGGGACUUGGGCCACAGAGUGAAAACCCGCAGCGGUGUGAGUCUGUGUUCUCCACAUCUCAUACCUGCCAAUACCUAUAUUUUCAGAGUAGAUUUUUGAAGAGCAAACAACCGUGUAUCACAGAGUAAGAUGUACACCCCAACCCAAGGAUCUUAGAGCAAACACGGUGAGUGAAAUAAGGAAGUUACAGGCAGGGCACGAAGGGCGGUCUCCAGAAGAGGGGGCUCAGGCGGGGUGGGACCUGGGCGAGGGGUCCCAGACACCUCCCCGCACGGUUCCUGGCAGCGGCUGGGCUGUGACGAUGGUGCUCUCACUGGCUGGUCUCACACGGCUGCGUUUUAAUUCUGACGUCCAGGCCGCCACCCACCAAAACUGGAGCAGAGUUGGUUAUAUAUAUAUAUAUAUAUAUGUUUUUUUUUUUUUUUAGUUUAUUUUGAGACAGAGAGAA